This 561-nucleotide ribosomal RNA is filed under the name Amphiprion barberi. Its description in RNAcentral is "partial large subunit ribosomal RNA". It matches the Rfam family "Bacterial large subunit ribosomal RNA", at positions 1846 to 2596 of the family's 2925-position model. The record is from RNAcentral. Lineage: Eukaryota; Metazoa; Chordata; Actinopteri; Pomacentridae.
UAAGAGGUCCUGCCUGCCCAGUGACUAUAUGUUUAACGGCCGCGGUACUUUGACCGUGCGAAGGUAGCGCAAUCACUUGUCUUUUAAAUGGAGACCUGUAUGAAUGGCACGACGAGGGCUUAACUGUCUCCUUUUUCCAGUCAAUGAAAUUGAUCUUCCCGUGCAGAAGCGGGGAUAAUAUCAUAAGACGAGAAGACCCUGUGGAGCUUUAGACACUAAAUCAGCCCUUGUCCAAAAAUCCCAAUUAAAGGAAUGAACACUAGAGUGAGACCUGAUCUAAUGUCUUCGGUUGGGGCGACCUUGGGGAAAGAAAAAUCCCCCAUGCGGAACGGAAAUACCAUGUUUCCAAAACUAAGAGAGACCACUCAAAGUAUCAAAAAUUUUGACCAACUAUAUGAUCCGGCUUAACGCCGAUCAACGGACCGAGUUACCCCAGGGAUAACAGCGCAAUCCUCUUUUAGAGCCCAUAUCGACAAGAGGGUUUACGACCUCGAUGUUGGAUCAGGACAUCCUAAUGGUGCAGCCGCUAUUAAGGGUUCGUUUGUUCAACGAUUAAAGUCC